RNAcentral lists this ribosomal RNA (557 nucleotides) under Sphingomonadaceae bacterium BvIRR068. Its description in RNAcentral is "bacterial SSU rRNA". It matches the Rfam family "Bacterial small subunit ribosomal RNA", at positions 102 to 694 of the family's 1533-position model. Lineage: Bacteria; Pseudomonadati; Pseudomonadota; Alphaproteobacteria; Sphingomonadales; Sphingomonadaceae. RNAcentral also lists the same sequence under 6 other names. The record is from RNAcentral.
ACGGGUGCGUAACGCGUGGGAAUCUGCCCCUUGGUUCGGAAUAACAGUUGGAAACGACUGCUAAUACCGGAUGAUGACGAAAGUCCAAAGAUUUAUCGCCAAGGGAUGAGCCCGCGUAGGAUUAGCUAGUUGGUGAGGUAAAGGCUCACCAAGGCAACGAUCCUUAGCUGGUCUGAGAGGAUGAUCAGCCACACUGGGACUGAGACACGGCCCAGACUCCUACGGGAGGCAGCAGUAGGGAAUAUUGGACAAUGGGCGAAAGCCUGAUCCAGCAAUGCCGCGUGAGUGAUGAAGGCCUUAGGGUUGUAAAGCUCUUUUACCCGAGAUGAUAAUGACAGUAUCGGGAGAAUAAGCCCCGGCUAACUCCGUGCCAGCAGCCGCGGUAAUACGGAGGGGGCUAGCGUUGUUCGGAAUUACUGGGCGUAAAGCGCACGUAGGCGGUUAUUCAAGUCAGAGGUGAAAGCCCAGUGCUCAACACUGGAACUGCCUUUGAAACUAGAUAGCUUGAAUCCAGGAGAGGUGAGUGGAAUUCCGAGUGUAGAGGUGAAAUUCGUAGA